CCAGGUCGAUGCACGAGUGGACGGAGCAAGCUCCUAUUCCACCUCCUGGCUCCAAAAAUCCAUUUACUAUAUUCACAGAACUGCAAAAACUCUA
This is a non-coding RNA of Callorhinus ursinus (northern fur seal), 94 nucleotides long. NCBI's taxonomy places the organism in Eukaryota, Metazoa, Chordata, Mammalia, Carnivora, Otariidae. The record is from RefSeq and is a predicted model, not a curated record.